GGCGGAAGCCUGAUGCAGCAACGCCGCGUGCGGGAUGACGGCCUUCGGGUUGUAAACCGCUUUCGCCUGUGACGAAGCGUGAGUGACGGUAAUGGGUAAAGAAGCACCGGCUAACUACGUGCCAGCAGCCGCGGUGAUACGUAGGGUGCGAGCGUUGUCCGGAUUUAUUGGGCGUAAAGGGCUCGUAGGUGGUUGAUCGCGUCGGAAGUGUAAUCUUGGGGCUUAACCCUGAGCGUGCUUUCGAUACGGGUUGACUUGAGGAAGGUAGGGGAGAAUGGAAUUCCUGGUGGAGCGGUGGAAUGCGCAGAUAUCAGGAGGAACACCAGUGGCGAAGGCGGUUCUCUGGGCCUUUCCUGACGCUGAGGAGCGAAAGCGUGGGGAGCGAACAGGCUUAGAUACCCUGGUAGUCCACGCUGUAAACGGUGGGUACUAGGUGUGGGGUCCAUUCCACGGGUUCCGUGCCGUAGCUAACGCUUUAAGUACCCCGCCUGG
This 492-nucleotide ribosomal RNA is filed under the name uncultured Propionibacterium sp. RNAcentral describes it as "bacterial SSU rRNA". It matches the Rfam family "Bacterial small subunit ribosomal RNA", at positions 374 to 876 of the family's 1533-position model. Lineage: Bacteria; Bacillati; Actinomycetota; Actinomycetes; Propionibacteriales; Propionibacteriaceae. The record is from RNAcentral.